AGAGUUUGAUCAUGGCUCAGGACGAACGCUGGCGGCGCGCCUAAUCCAUGCAAGUCGAGCGACGCAUUCCUUAGCCCGUAAGGGCGGGUUUGACGGAGCGGCGAACGGGUGCGUAACACGUGACCAAUCUGCCCCGAAGACCGGGAUAGCCCGGGGAAACCCGGAUUAAUACCGGAUGAUCUCAUCAUCACGCAUGUGGAGAUGAGCAAAGGUUCAGGCGCUUCGGGAUGAGGUCGCGGCCCAUCAGCUUGUUGGUGAGGUAAUGGCUCACCAAGGCAAUGACGGGUAGCUGGUCUGAGAGGACGAUCAGCCACACUGGAACUGAGAUACGGUCCAGACUCCUACGGGAGGCAGCAGGAGGGAAUCUUGCGCAAUGGGCGAAAGCCUGACGCAGCGACGCCGCGUGGGGGAUGAAUGCCUUAGGGUUGUAAACCCCUUUCACGAGGGAAGAAAAUGACGGUACCUCGAGAAGAAGCCCCGGCCAACUACGUGCCAGCAGCCGCGGUAAUACGUAGGGGGCGAGCGUUGUCCGGAUUUAUUGGGCGUAAAGGGCUCGUAGGCGGCUUGGCAAGUCGGCCGUGAAAACCCAGGGCUCAACUCUGGGACGCCGGUCGAUACUGCCAUGGCUAGGGUCCGGUAGAGGGGAAUGGAAUUCCCGGUGUAGCGGUGAAAUGCGCAGAUAUCGGGAGGAACACCAGUAGCGAAGGCGGUUCCCUGGGCCGGCACCGACGCUGAGGAGCGAAAGCGUGGGGAGCAAACAGGAUUAGAUACCCUGGUAGUCCACGCCGUAAACGUUGGGUACUA
RNAcentral lists this ribosomal RNA (804 nucleotides) under uncultured Actinomycetes bacterium. RNAcentral describes it as "bacterial SSU rRNA". It matches the Rfam family "Bacterial small subunit ribosomal RNA", at positions 8 to 818 of the family's 1533-position model. Lineage: Bacteria; Bacillati; Actinomycetota; Actinomycetes. The record is from RNAcentral.